AUUGAACGCUGGCGGCAGGCCUAACACAUGCAAGUCGAGCGGAUGAAGGGAGCUUGCUCCUGGAUUCAGCGGCGGACGGGUGAGUAAUGCCUAGGAAUCUGCCUGGUAGUGGGGGAUAACGUCCGGAAACGGGCGCUAAUACCGCAUACGUCCUGAGGGAGAAAGUGGGGGAUCUUCGGACCUCACGCUAUCAGAUGAGCCUAGGUCGGAUUAGCUAGUUGGUGGGGUAAAGGCCUACCAAGGCGACGAUCCGUAACUGGUCUGAGAGGAUGAUCAGUCACACUGGAACUGAGACACGGUCCAGACUCCUACGGGAGGCAGCAGUGGGGAACAUUGGACAAUGGGCGAAAGCCUGAUCCAGCCAUGCCGCGUGUGUGAAGAAGGUCUUCGGAUUGCAAAGCACUUUAAGUUGGGAGGAAGGGCAGUAAGUUAAUACCUUGCUGUUUUGACGUUACCAACAGAAUAAGCACCGGCUAACUUCGUG
RNAcentral lists this ribosomal RNA (484 nucleotides) under uncultured bacterium. RNAcentral describes it as "partial 16S ribosomal RNA". It matches the Rfam family "Bacterial small subunit ribosomal RNA", at positions 30 to 507 of the family's 1533-position model. The record is from RNAcentral.